GUUGACCUCGGAUCAGGUAGGGAUACCCGCUGAACUUAAGCAUAUCAAUAAGCGGAGGAAAAGAAACCAACAGGGAUUGCCCUAGUAACGGCGAGUGAAGCGGCAACAGCUCAAAUUUGAAAGCUGGCCUUCGGGUCCGCAUUGUAAUUUGUAGAGGAUGCUUUGGGUGAAACGCCAGUCUAAGUUCCUUGGAACAGGACGUCAUAGAGGGUGAGAAUCCCGUAUGUGACUGGAAAUGUUAACCUAUGUAAAGCUCCUUCGACGAGUCGAGUUGUUUGGGAAUGCAGCUCUAAAUGGGAGGUAAAUUUCUUCUAAAGCUAAAUAUUGGCGAGAGACCGAUAGCGCACAAGUAGAGUGAUCGAAAGAUGAAAAGCACUUUGGAAAGAGAGUUAAAAAGCACGUGAAAUUGUUGAAAGGGAAGCGCUUGCAAUCAGACUUGUUUAAACUGUUCGGCCGGUCUUCUGACCGGUUUACUCAGUUUGGACAGGCCAGCAUCAGUUUCGGCGGCCGGAUAAAGGCUCUGGGAAUGUGGCCUUCACUUCGGUGAAGGUGUUAUAGCCCAGGGUGUAAUACGGCCAGCCGGGACUGAGGUCCGCGCUCGGCUAG
This 606-nucleotide ribosomal RNA is filed under the name Aureobasidium sp. RNAcentral describes it as "partial large subunit ribosomal RNA". It matches the Rfam family "Eukaryotic large subunit ribosomal RNA", at positions 1 to 613 of the family's 3401-position model. Lineage: Eukaryota; Fungi; Ascomycota; Dothideomycetes; Dothideales; Saccotheciaceae. The record is from RNAcentral.